Molecule: small nuclear RNA, 105 nt
Organism: Budorcas taxicolor (takin)
Lineage: Eukaryota; Metazoa; Chordata; Mammalia; Artiodactyla; Bovidae
Source: RefSeq, a predicted model, not a curated record
AUGCUCAGCUUCUGUAGCAUCUAUACUAAAAUGGCAACAGUACAGAAAUCAGCAUGGCUCCUGCACAAAGAUGGCCCACAAAUACAGGGAGCAUUCCAUAUUUCU